Molecule: RNase P RNA, 449 nt
Filed under: Acidobacteriota bacterium
Lineage: Bacteria; Pseudomonadati; Acidobacteriota
Description: Acidobacteria bacterium (sediment metagenome) RNase P RNA component class A
Rfam family: Bacterial RNase P class A
About the family: Ribonuclease P (RNase P) is a ubiquitous endoribonuclease, found in archaea, bacteria and eukarya as well as chloroplasts and mitochondria. Its best characterised activity is the generation of mature 5'-ends of tRNAs by cleaving the 5'-leader elements of precursor-tRNAs. Cellular RNase Ps are ribonucleoproteins.
Source: RNAcentral
CGGGUGAGCCGGGUGAUCGCCCCGAGGCAGUUCAUCGGGGAGGAAAGUCCGGACUCCCAGGGCAGCGCGCUCCCUGAACCUUCCCGCAUUGCGGGAGGGAACGAAGGGAGGCUCCGAGGGCUACAUCCCUCGGGGACGGACAGUGCCACAGAGAAGGAACCGCCGCCGUGCCGGUCCGGCAACGGAUGCGUCCCGGGUAACGCCCGGGACGACGCCCGGCGGUAAGGGUGAAAAGGUGGGGUAAGAGCCCACCGCCCCGACAGUGAUGUCGGGGGCGAGGAAAACCCCGCGCGGAGCAAGACCAAAUAGGGGAGAAGGGCUAGCCCGGCCCAAGAUCCUGCGCAAGCGGGGUCGUGACUCCCGGGUAGGUCGCCCAGAGGAAUGAUCACCUCCCGAGGGCGCGCAAGCGCCCUCGGGAACAGAAUCCGGCUUACAGGCUCACCCGCCAC